RNAcentral lists this ribosomal RNA (503 nucleotides) under uncultured bacterium. RNAcentral describes it as "bacterial SSU rRNA". It matches the Rfam family "Bacterial small subunit ribosomal RNA", at positions 355 to 858 of the family's 1533-position model. The record is from RNAcentral.
UGAGGAAUAUUGGUCAAUGGACGCAAGUCUGAACCAGCCAUGCCGCGUGAAGGAUGAAGGCCUUCUGGGUUGUAAACUUCUUUUAUCGGGGAAGAAAAGUAUGGUUUCUACUAUAUCCGACGGUACCCGAGGAAUAAGCACCGGCUAACUCCGUGCCAGCAGCCGCGGUAAUACGGAGGGUGCAAGCGUUAUCCGGAUUCACUGGGUUUAAAGGGUGUGUAGGCGGGCUGUUAAGUCAGAGGUGAAAUCUCCGGGCUCAACCCGGAAACUGCCUUUGAUACUAAUGGCCUUGAAUCUUGUUGAGGUAGGCGGAAUAUGUCAUGUAGCGGUGAAAUGCUUAGAUAUGACAUAGAACACCGAUUGCGAAGGCAGCUUACUAAGCAAGCAUUGACGCUGAGGCACGAAAGCGUGGGGAUCAAACAGGAUUAGAUACCCUGGUAGUUCACGCCCUAAACGAUGAUUACUCGACAUACGCGAUACACAGUGUGUGUCUGAGCGAAAGC